Xylaria arbuscula is the source of this 79-nucleotide non-coding RNA. NCBI's taxonomy places the organism in Eukaryota, Fungi, Ascomycota, Sordariomycetes, Xylariales, Xylariaceae. The record is from the annotation of a GenBank genome assembly.
GCCCGGUUAGCUCAAUCGGUAGAGCGUGAGACUCUUAAUCUCAAGGUUGCGGGUGUAAGUUUACAUACAUAACUAUGCA